UGAGGAAUAUUGCGCAAUGGGGGAAACCCUGACGCAGCGACGCCGCGUGAGUGAGGAAGGUUUUCGGAUCGUAAAGCUCUGUCAGAAGGGAAGAAGUGUUAUACAGUUAAUACCUGUA
This 118-nucleotide ribosomal RNA is filed under the name uncultured bacterium. Its description in RNAcentral is "partial 16S ribosomal RNA". It matches the Rfam family "Bacterial small subunit ribosomal RNA", at positions 355 to 477 of the family's 1533-position model. The record is from RNAcentral.